AGGGAGUUCAGAGUACCUUGUAGAAGAUAACCUGUUGAAGUCUGCUGAUUGAAAGGAGUGUUUUUGUUCACAGAAAACUAAAGUAAACUUGAAAAAGUUAACUUUAGGAAUGGUAAACUAAUUCUAAAUGGUAGUUUAAUGAAAGGGUAUCUCUUUGAGGAUCUCAUUUUAGAUAAAAUUAAAUGUUAGCAGAAUGCUGCCACCUCACUGUUGUAAUUUCUUCCAUUACCAAGACUGUUGAGAUAGAGAAUGGACGGAAUGUAGAAUUGAUAGAUGUAAACGACAAUGCUCCAGAAUUUCAGCAAGCUAAUUAUAGUGCUUCAGUAUCAGAGGUAGCUGGAAUUAAUUCCACAGUUAUAAAAGUGGAAGCUGAGGAUAAGGACUUUUCACCAGAAUUCAGCAUCCUUACUUACAGUCUUUGGGGCCCAAACUCUGAUUACUUUUCUAUAAGGGAAGGAGAUGGAAACAUCAUGGUGAAAAAACCACUGGAUUACAAUGAAGUCAACUUUUUCAAUUUAACAGUCCAAGCAAAGGUAUGACACAAAUUAAAAGAAUGAGACCUGCAACACUUCUACAAUGAUAGUUCCUUUGUUUUAUAGCAUCCCAGUUUCUACAAAUUUACAGCUUUGGGAGUUCCCAAGCCAAAUGUUGUGUCUGCAACUUGGUUUAUACUGGAGACAAAGUAGCAUAUUCUUAAUAUUUCAGCCUCUCAAGUACCAGC
This 721-nucleotide long non-coding RNA is filed under the name Lonchura striata (white-rumped munia). RNAcentral's name for it is "domestica (Bengalese finch) lncRNA (ENSLSDG00000008700.1)". Lineage: Eukaryota; Metazoa; Chordata; Aves; Passeriformes; Estrildidae. The record is from RNAcentral.